This 107-nucleotide non-coding RNA is filed under the name Prosthecodimorpha hirschii. RNAcentral describes it as "Prosthecomicrobium hirschii TPP sequence". It matches the Rfam family "TPP riboswitch aptamer (THI element)". From Rfam's summary of the family: Vitamin B(1) in its active form thiamin pyrophosphate (TPP) is an essential coenzyme that is synthesised by coupling of pyrimidine and thiazole moieties in bacteria. The previously detected thiamin-regulatory element, thi box was extended, resulting in a new, highly conserved RNA secondary structure, the THI element, which is widely distributed in eubacteria and also occurs in some archaea. Analysis of operon structures identified a large number of new candidate thiamin-regulated genes, mostly transporters, in various prokaryotic organisms. The record is from Rfam by way of RNAcentral. Lineage: Bacteria; Pseudomonadati; Pseudomonadota; Alphaproteobacteria; Hyphomicrobiales; Ancalomicrobiaceae.
UGCCAGUCCGAGGGGUGCUCCUGUGGGAGCUGAGAUGGCGCUGCGGCGUCGGACCCUUUGAACCUGAUCCGGGUCAUGCCGGCGAAGGGACGGGAUCAACCGGCUUU